This 253-nucleotide ribosomal RNA is filed under the name uncultured bacterium. Its description in RNAcentral is "partial 16S ribosomal RNA". It matches the Rfam family "Bacterial small subunit ribosomal RNA", at positions 524 to 776 of the family's 1533-position model. The record is from RNAcentral.
GACGAACCGUGCGAACGUUGUUCGGAUUCACUGGGCUUAAAGGGCGCGUAGGCGGGUGACCAAGUCAGGGGUGAAAUCUUUCGGCUCAACCGGAAAAGUGCCCCUGAUACUGGUCGUCUCGAGGGAGGUAGGGGCAUGUGGAACUUCCGGUGGAGCGGUGAAAUGCGUAGAUAUCUGGAGGAACACCGGUGGCGAAGGCGGCGUCCUGGACCAACACUGACACUGAUGAGCGAAAGCCAGGGGAGCAAACGGG